Long non-coding RNA from Salvia splendens (bonfire salvia), 625 nucleotides. RefSeq lists it as uncharacterized. NCBI's taxonomy places the organism in Eukaryota, Viridiplantae, Streptophyta, Magnoliopsida, Lamiales, Lamiaceae. The transcript has 2 exons. The record is from RefSeq and is a predicted model, not a curated record.
CGUUUCUGAAUUCUGAAUCAGAUCCGCCGCCUCUCCUCUAACCCUAAAUCCCUCCACCAACUCCAUCGUCCUCCGUCGCCGGUCGCCCCUCCAGCCGUCGCCUGUCACCCCUCCAGCUCCUGUCGGCCCUUCACACCGUCCUCUCCACUCUCCACAGCUCCGACUCCAGAUUUCAGAUUUAGUAAGUAAAAGGUAGACGGUUUUUCUCCACUCUACAACAUAGAUUAUUCAACAUCAAGUUGUAAUGUAAGUUAUUCAUUAAUUUUGAUGUAAUUUAUGUAUUGUUAAGUUACAAAUUGAUUGCUAAGUAUCUCUGAAUAUUUCUUAUUAUAGAUGUUGUGUGAUGAAAGUGAAGCAGUUGGAGAUACCAUCGAAAAUAAUGCAACUGAAGAUACUCCAUCUGAGGAUCCUCAAGACAAAGGAGAGGCAAAAAAGAGGAAAACUAUGAAGAAAAGAUCAGAGGUUUGGGAUCAUUUUACUCCGUUCUUAGAUAACAAUAAGAAACAAAGAGCAAAGUGUGUGCAUUGUGCGAAAACAUUGUGUGGAGAAUCUAAGAAUGACACUUCUUCACUUAAAGCACAUUUGAGUAAAUGCAAUAAAAUUUCAACUACAAGUCCUAGGCAAA